RNAcentral lists this ribosomal RNA (253 nucleotides) under uncultured Eubacteriales bacterium. RNAcentral describes it as "uncultured Clostridiales bacterium partial 16S ribosomal RNA". It matches the Rfam family "Bacterial small subunit ribosomal RNA", at positions 524 to 776 of the family's 1533-position model. The record is from RNAcentral. Lineage: Bacteria; Bacillati; Bacillota; Clostridia; Eubacteriales.
UACGUAGGGGGCAAGCGUUAUCCGGAUUUACUGGGUGUAAAGGGAGCGUAGACGGCAGCGCAAGUCUGGAGUGAAAUGCCGGGGCCCAACCCCGGAACUGCUCUGGAAACUGUGAAGCUGGAGUGCAGGAGAGGUAAGCGGAAUUCCUGGUGUAGGAGUGAAAUCCGUAGAUAUCUGGAGGAACAUCAGUGGCGAAGGCGGCCACCUGGACCGGUAUUGACGCUGAGGCGCGAAAGCGUGGGGAGCAAACAGG